RNAcentral lists this long non-coding RNA (477 nucleotides) under Brassica napus (rape). Its description in RNAcentral is "long non-coding RNA (BNAP_LNC025149)". The record is from RNAcentral. Lineage: Eukaryota; Viridiplantae; Streptophyta; Magnoliopsida; Brassicales; Brassicaceae.
CAAAGAACAGAUUAUCUAAAGUAUCAUUCAACUGCACAAUAACCCAAUCACAAACAAUAUACUAAAAGGGAGAGCAUUCCAAUUUCGUUAAACAAACCAGUGCCAAGUGAUUAUGGUUUUAGUUAGGUAAUCUUACAAUAGCAAGUCAAUUCAACUAAGAAUGGUUAGCAUAAUAGCAUUUAGUAUUGGAUAAUAUUACACAAGCCAAAUGAAAUAUUCGAAACUUAGUUACUUAACAAACAAAAAGCAGUAGAUAAACCGCUUUGGACUAAAUAUAGACUAGUUAGUUUAGAUCUCGUUAUAAUCCCACCUCUAAAGCUAUAGACGUCUUUGCCUGGAAUCGUGUCAACAACACAACCCUAUCUUUAGAAGGGGAGAAUAACAAAACAAAUCAUCUUUUAAAAAUUAUAUAUCACCCCCUCAUAUUACACAGUUUCUAAAUCUCACCCUUAUAAAGAAUGUUAAGAAUAAAACUAC